UCAAUCAGAACUUCUUACACUUCGUUCCUAACAGUUUUGACUGGUACAUGUAGGAUGUGAUGUGUUCAUGCAAUUUUAAUUGAGUAAGAAGAAUAAUUAAAAAAUUAAAAUCAAAACACCAGAUGUAAUGUGGUAAAUCCCGAAAGGGAACAUCCACAAACUCCAUGCCACGAGUAAAAUAAUUUACUAAAUCAAAUGAUUAAAAAAUAACAGUCUCAAUUUUGUAAUUUUGCAAAAUUAACAAAAACAAUCAAAAGAUUUCUAAACCUUGUUUUCUUCUUUGAUUUGUUGUAGAAAUGGAAUCAAACAUUCCCGGUCUUGACUUUAUCGUCACUUCACUAUUAUAUUUAACUGCAACCACCCCUCGAAUUAAGAAUUACCAUUCUUAACUUAUGCCAUGCAGAUUAACCAAAAAAUAGGACUGUACAUUAACGCUCUUCGUGUUUGUUUCAAAUACAGUUGAAGAAUGUAGUUUUACUUUGACAAUCUUCAAUAAAGCAUGAAGUCUAUUUGCGCUUUUUACAAUUGGGGUAGCACACGACUGCUCUAGGUCAUGAACUUGUGUGAAUUUUU
RNAcentral lists this long non-coding RNA (573 nucleotides) under Olea europaea (common olive). RNAcentral's name for it is "long non-coding RNA (OEUR_LNC009627)". The record is from RNAcentral. Lineage: Eukaryota; Viridiplantae; Streptophyta; Magnoliopsida; Lamiales; Oleaceae.